RNAcentral lists this ribosomal RNA (502 nucleotides) under uncultured bacterium. RNAcentral describes it as "bacterial SSU rRNA". It matches the Rfam family "Bacterial small subunit ribosomal RNA", at positions 30 to 504 of the family's 1533-position model. The record is from RNAcentral.
UGAACGCUGGCGGCGUGCUUAACACAUGCAAGUCGCACGAGAACGCUUCAGCUUGCUGAAGUUAGUAAAGUGGCGCACGGGUGAGUAACGCGUGGGUAAUCUACCCCCCGAAUUGGGGAUAACAUCGCGAAAGCGAUGCUAAUACCGAAUGAUAUCUUGAAAACUCUGUUUUCUGGAUCAAAGAUGGCCUCUACAUGUAAGCUAUUGUUUGGGGAUGAGCCCGCGUACCAUUAGCUUGUUGGUAGGGUAAUGGCCUACCAAGGCAACGAUGGUUAGCUGGUCUGAGAGGAUGAUCAGCCACACUGGAACUGACACACGGUCCAGACUCCUACGGGAGGCAGCAGUGAGGAAUUUUGCGCAAUGGGGGAAACCCUGACGCAGCAACGCCGCGUGAGUGAUGAAGGCUUUCGGGUCGUAAAGCUCUGUCAAGUGGGAAGAAACCAUAUGGUGUUAAUAUCGCCAUAUGCUGACGGUACCAUUGAAGGAAGCACCGGCUAACUCC